ACCAAUGGCCAAAGUCAACCCAAAGUCAAAACCAACCCAAGGUCAACUCAAAGUCAAGACCAACCAAUGGCCAAAGUCAAGGCCAACUCAUGUCAAGAUCAAGCAACUCAACAUCAAGACCAACCCAAGGUCAAGAUGAACCCAAACUCAAGACCGACCCAAUGUCGAGACCAAUCCAAGGCCAACCCAGAGGUCAAGACCAACCAAUGGCCAAAGUCAACCCAAAGUCAAGACCAACUCACGGUGAAGACCAACCCAAGGUCAACCCAAAGUCAAGGCCUACUCAUGUCAAGAUCAAGCAACUCAACAUCAAAACCAACCCAAAGUCAAAACCAACUCAAGGUCAAGACCAACCAAUGGCCAAAGUCAACCCAAAGUCAAAACCAACUCAAGGUCAAGAUGAACCCAAAGUCAAGACCGAUCCAAUGUCGAGACCAAUCCAAGGCCAACCCAACAUCAAGACCAACUUGAGGUCAAGACCAAC
This 484-nucleotide long non-coding RNA is filed under the name Zonotrichia albicollis (white-throated sparrow). RNAcentral describes it as "lncRNA (ENSZALG00000007464.1)". Lineage: Eukaryota; Metazoa; Chordata; Aves; Passeriformes; Passerellidae. The record is from RNAcentral.